This 275-nucleotide ribosomal RNA is filed under the name uncultured bacterium. Its description in RNAcentral is "partial 16S ribosomal RNA". It matches the Rfam family "Bacterial small subunit ribosomal RNA", at positions 399 to 691 of the family's 1533-position model. The record is from RNAcentral.
GCGUGGGUGAUGAAGGCCUUCGGGUUGUAAAGCCCUUUUGGCGGGGACGAUGAUGACGGUACCCGCAGAAUAAGCCCCGGCUAACUUCGUGCCAGCAGCCGCGGUAAUACGAAGGGGGCUAGCGUUGUUCGGAAUUACUGGGCGUAAAGGGCGCGUAGGCGGUCUUUGAAGUCGGGCGUGAAAGCCCUGGGCUCAACCCAGGAAUAGCGCUCGAUACUCUUGGACUUGAGUGCGGGAGAGGGUGGUGGAAUUCCCAGUGUAGAGGUGAAAUUCGU